RNAcentral lists this non-coding RNA (31 nucleotides) under Rattus norvegicus (Norway rat). The record is from RNAcentral. Lineage: Eukaryota; Metazoa; Chordata; Mammalia; Rodentia; Muridae.
UAGAAGUUUCUCUUCCACGAAUGGCUAACCU